RNAcentral lists this ribosomal RNA (762 nucleotides) under Arthrobacter oryzae. Its description in RNAcentral is "bacterial SSU rRNA". It matches the Rfam family "Bacterial small subunit ribosomal RNA", at positions 48 to 823 of the family's 1533-position model. Lineage: Bacteria; Bacillati; Actinomycetota; Actinomycetes; Micrococcales; Micrococcaceae. The record is from RNAcentral.
UUAACACAUGCAAGUCGAACGAUGAUCCGGUGCUUGCACCGGGGAUUAGUGGCGAACGGGUGAGUAACACGUGAGUAACCUGCCCUUGACUCUGGGAUAAGCCUGGGAAACUGGGUCUAAUACCGGAUAUGACUCCUCAUCGCAUGGUGGGGGGUGGAAAGCUUUUGUGGUUUUGGAUGGACUCGCGGCCUAUCAGCUUGUUGGUGAGGUAAUGGCUCACCAAGGCGACGACGGGUAGCCGGCCUGAGAGGGUGACCGGCCACACUGGGACUGAGACACGGCCCAGACUCCUACGGGAGGCAGCAGUGGGGAAUAUUGCACAAUGGGCGCAAGCCUGAUGCAGCGACGCCGCGUGAGGGAUGACGGCCUUCGGGUUGUAAACCUCUUUCAGUAGGGAAGAAGCGAAAGUGACGGUACCUGCAGAAGAAGCGCCGGCUAACUACGUGCCAGCAGCCGCGGUAAUACGUAGGGCGCAAGCGUUAUCCGGAAUUAUUGGGCGUAAAGAGCUCGUAGGCGGUUUGUCGCGUCUGCCGUGAAAGUCCGGGGCUCAACUCCGGAUCUGCGGUGGGUACGGGCAGACUAGAGUGAUGUAGGGGAGACUGGAAUUCCUGGUGUAGCGGUGAAAUGCGCAGAUAUCAGGAGGAACACCGAUGGCGAAGGCAGGUCUCUGGGCAUUAACUGACGCUGAGGAGCGAAAGCAUGGGGAGCGAACAGGAUUAGAUACCCUGGUAGUCCAUGCCGUAAACGUUGGGCACUAGGUGU